GUAGGGUGCAAGCGUUGUCCGGAAUUAUUGGGCGUAAAGAGCUCGUAGGCGGUUUGUUGCGUCGGCUGUGAAAUCCCGAGGCUCAACCUCGGGUCUGCAGUCGAUACGAGCAAACUAGAGUGUUGCAGGGGAGACUGGAAUUCCUGGUGUAGCGGUGAAAUGCGCAGAUAUCAGGAGGAACACCGGUGGCGAGGGCGGGUCUCUGGGCAACAACUGACGCUGAGGAGCGAAAGCGUGGGGAGCGAACAGGAUUAGAUACCCUGGUAGUCCACGCCGUAAACGUUGGGCGCUAGGUGUGGGGCUCAUUCCACGAGUUCCGUGCCGCAGCUAACGCAUUAAGCGCCCCGCCUGGGGAGUACGGCCGCAAGGCUA
RNAcentral lists this ribosomal RNA (372 nucleotides) under uncultured bacterium. RNAcentral describes it as "bacterial SSU rRNA". It matches the Rfam family "Bacterial small subunit ribosomal RNA", at positions 527 to 896 of the family's 1533-position model. The record is from RNAcentral.